RNAcentral lists this ribosomal RNA (119 nucleotides) under Pteropus alecto (black flying fox). The record is from RNAcentral. Lineage: Eukaryota; Metazoa; Chordata; Mammalia; Chiroptera; Pteropodidae.
GUCUACUGCCAUGCCACCCUGAACGUGCCUGAUCGCAUCUGAUCUCAGAAGCUAAGCAGGGUCAGGCCUGGUUAGUACUUGGAUGGGAGACUACUUAGGAAUACCAAGUGCUGUGCGGG